Long non-coding RNA from Engraulis encrasicolus (European anchovy), 705 nucleotides. RefSeq lists it as uncharacterized. The record is from RefSeq and is a predicted model, not a curated record. NCBI's taxonomy places the organism in Eukaryota, Metazoa, Chordata, Actinopteri, Clupeiformes, Engraulidae. The transcript has 5 exons.
UUGAUAAAGCAUUUGCUUAGCCUUCAGACCCAUGUAAUUAAUGCCUGUUUCCUUUAUAGAACAGGAAGUAACAUUCAGUAAUACCUUGAGCAGCAUUUGCUAACUCUCUCUCUCUCUCUCUCUCUCUCUCUCUCUCUCUCUCUCUCUCUCUCUCAUGUACUUAUUUCUAAGGUGACCAAAAUCUGUUUCACUCUGCAGCACUUGUCCUGGAGGUUUUGUAGACAGAACUGGAAGUGACUGAAAGAAAACGGAGACUCAUUCUUUCAGCAAGGUGACCAAAAUCUGUUUUGCUCUGCAGCACUUGUCCCGGAGGCUUUGUAGACAGAGUGACUGAACGAAAACCUAAAUGAGAAAUAGGAACAACGUGUUUAGAAGAUGAAGUGUGGAAGCCUCGGCAGCUUCAGUAUGCUGUGUACCUCAUCUUGAACUCUUUCACAUGGUGAUUCCUACACAUAAUUGCACACUGUAUGUGUUUAGCUAUCCUAUCUUACAAAGACUUAUGCCAACACUGUAUCUGCCUUUCCACAAUGCAAUAUAAAAAGUGCUGCAUAGACCAUUUAGAGAAGCAAUGUCUCGUGACUUUUACUGUAUGUUUAUUUUUGAGCAAGUGUCAUUUGUUUUGUAAAAUAUCUUUGCAGAUUUUCUUUUCAUGCCUGGACACUUUUUUUAAUUUCAAAUAUUGCUUUGAAUUGAUGCAAAUUGAAG